This 650-nucleotide ribosomal RNA is filed under the name Collimonas sp. AD70. RNAcentral's name for it is "bacterial SSU rRNA". It matches the Rfam family "Bacterial small subunit ribosomal RNA", at positions 778 to 1433 of the family's 1533-position model. Lineage: Bacteria; Pseudomonadati; Pseudomonadota; Betaproteobacteria; Burkholderiales; Oxalobacteraceae. The record is from RNAcentral.
UUAGAUACCCUGGUAGUCCACGCCCUAAACGAUGUCUACUAGUUGUCGGGUCUUAAUUGACUUGGUAACGCAGCUAACGCGUGAAGUAGACCGCCUGGGGAGUACGGUCGCAAGAUUAAAACUCAAAGGAAUUGACGGGGACCCGCACAAGCGGUGGAUGAUGUGGAUUAAUUCGAUGCAACGCGAAAAACCUUACCUACCCUUGACAUGUACAGAAUCCCGAAGAGAUUUGGGAGUGUUCGAAAGAAAACUGUAACACAGGUGCUGCAUGGCUGUCGUCAGCUCGUGUCGUGAGAUGUUGGGUUAAGUCCCGCAACGAGCGCAACCCUUGUCAUUAGUUGCUACGAAAGGGCACUCUAAUGAGACUGCCGGUGACAAACCGGAGGAAGGUGGGGAUGACGUCAAGUCCUCAUGGCCCUUAUGGGUAGGGCUUCACACGUCAUACAAUGGUACAUACAGAGGGCCGCCAACCCGCGAGGGGGAGCUAAUCCCAGAAAGUGUAUCGUAGUCCGGAUUGUAGUCUGCAACUCGACUACAUGAAGUUGGAAUCGCUAGUAAUCGCGGAUCAGCAUGUCGCGGUGAAUACGUUCCCGGGUCUUGUACACACCGCCCGUCACACCAUGGGAGCGGGUUUUACCAGAAGUAGGUAG